RNAcentral lists this ribosomal RNA (515 nucleotides) under DMSP-degrading marine bacterium JA31. RNAcentral describes it as "bacterial SSU rRNA". It matches the Rfam family "Bacterial small subunit ribosomal RNA", at positions 374 to 881 of the family's 1533-position model. Lineage: Bacteria; Pseudomonadati; Pseudomonadota; Gammaproteobacteria. The record is from RNAcentral.
GGGGGAACCCUGAUCCAGCCAUGCCGCGUGUGUGAAGAAGGCCUUUUGGUUGUAAAGCGCUUUAAGCAGUGAAGAAGACUCUGUGGUUAAUACCCACAGACGAUGACAUUAGCUGCAGAAUAAGCACCGGCUAACUCUGUGCCAGCAGCCGCGGUAAUACAGAGGGUGCAAGCGUUAAUCGGAAUUACUGGGCGUAAAGCGAGCGUAGGUGGCUUGAUAAGUCAGAUGUGAAAUCCCCGGGCUUAACCUGGGAACUGCAUCUGAAACUGUUAGGCUAGAGUAGGUGAGAGGGAAGUAGAAUUCCAGGUGUAGCGGUGAAAUGCGUAGAGAUCUGGAGGAAUACCGAUGGCGAAGGCAGCUUCCUGGCAUCAUACUGACACUGAGGCUCGAAAGCGUGGGUAGCAAACAGGAUUAGAUACCCUGGUAGUCCACGCCGUAAACGAUGUCUACUAGUCGUUGGGUCCCUUGAGGACUUAGUGACGCAGCUAACGCAAUAAGUAGACCGCCUGGGGAGU